CCUACGGGUGGCUGCAGUGGGGAAUAUUGGACAAUGGGGGGAACCCUGAUCCAGCCAUGCCGCGUGUGUGAAGAAGGCCCUCGGGUUGUAAAGCACUUUCAGUGAGGAAGAACGCCUGGUGGUUAAUACCCAUCAGGAAAGACAUCACUCACAGAAGAAGCACCGGCUAACUCCGUGCCAGCAGCCGCGGUAAUACGGAGGGUGCGAGCGUUAAUCGGAAUUACUGGGCGUAAAGCGCGCGUAGGUGGCUUGAUAAGCCGGUUGUGAAAGCCCCGGGCUCAACCUGGGAACGGCAUCCGGAACUGUCAAGCUAGAGUGCAGGAGAGGAAGGUAGAAUUCCCGGUGUAGCGGUGAAAUGCGAAGAGAUCGGGAGGAAUACCAGUGGCGAAGGCGGCCUUCUGGACUGACACUGACACUGAGGUGCGAAAGCGUGGGUAGCAAACAGGAAUAGAUACCCUGGUAGUC
This 465-nucleotide ribosomal RNA is filed under the name Vreelandella stevensii. RNAcentral's name for it is "partial 16S ribosomal RNA". It matches the Rfam family "Bacterial small subunit ribosomal RNA", at positions 338 to 795 of the family's 1533-position model. Lineage: Bacteria; Pseudomonadati; Pseudomonadota; Gammaproteobacteria; Oceanospirillales; Halomonadaceae. The record is from RNAcentral.